RNAcentral lists this ribosomal RNA (455 nucleotides) under uncultured bacterium. Its description in RNAcentral is "bacterial SSU rRNA". It matches the Rfam family "Bacterial small subunit ribosomal RNA", at positions 29 to 507 of the family's 1533-position model. The record is from RNAcentral.
AAUAAACGCUGGCGGCGUGCCUAACACAUGCAAGUCGAGCGAGAAAGCUCCUUCGGGAGUUAGUAAAGCGGCGAACGGGUGAGCAACACGUGAGAAUCUACCCUUUAGUGAAGAAUACCCUCGAGAAAUCGAGGCUAAUACUGCAUACGUCCCUUCGGGGAGAAAGAUGGCCUCUUUGCUAUCGCUAAAGGAUGAGCUUGCGUACUAUUAGCUAGUUGGCGGGGUAAAGGCCCACCAAGGCAAUGAUGGUUAACCGGCCUGAGAGGGUGUACGGUCACACUGGAACUUAGACGCGGUCCAGACUCCUACGGGAGGCAGCAGUGGGGAAUAUUGGACAAUGGGCGAAAGCCUGAUCCAGCAAUGCCGCGUGAGUGAAGAAGGCCUUAGGGUUGUAAAGCUCUUUUAGUAAGGAAAAUAAUGAUGGUACUUACAGAAAAGCACCGGCUAACUCCGUG